CAAGUCAAUACUUAAUAAAUAAUUAAUUGAAAUAAUUCCAUAGAUUUCCACAUUGCAGAACCAUUUAUACACUGAUGCAUGCUACUCAAUUCAAGUCCAUUCUCAUACUGCUGCAGUCUCUUAUAAGUAAGUAAGUAAGUGUGUGUGUGUGUGUGUGUGUGUGUGUGCGUUUGAGACAGAGACCCUAAGUAACUUGGACAGUGUGAAUAAUCAGUGUGCUGCUCUUUUACACAUGCAUGUAAAUAAAAACAUACACACCGUGACUGUCAGUCAGUCAGAUGCUGCUCAUGUUCAUUAGGAACAGGAAAGGUUGAAAGCAGAUUUCCAAAAAAAAAAAAAAAAACAACAAAAAAGAUUUGCCUUCGGCUGAACGUUUCAUCAUUUCACUCCUGAAAAAUGGGACAUCUGGUCAGUCAGAUUAAAAAUCUAAUGUUUCUCAACUAAAGAUGAUUUUAUUGCUUAUACUAAACUUAAUUUCAACAAAUUUCUCAAAAACUAGAUGAAUUAGGUAGCGUGAGUGUGACCAAUUCCCUUAGUAUUAAAGCAAACUAAUUACAGUAUAUUAUCACAAAGAUUUUGGCACUAAUGGGAACUGUAAAUAUAGUACUAAAUUUAUAUGAAUAAAACAUGUAUGGUAGAACAGUGCAGAGGUCAUGUGGCUGCUGCAAAAUACCAGCGUUGUGAUUUUGAUUCUCAGUUUUUCUUCAGUGCACUAAGUUGCAUGUUCAAUCUUAAAAUCAAACUACUCUAUACUUCGGUGCUGGCAGAACUUUUCCUUCUCAGCCAAAGUAACUUUUUUAGUUAUAAAGUUAUUAAAAGGUGAGAACAUGAGAGAAAAGGAUUUGUUUUGAAAUUUCCCCAUGACCCGAUGAUAGAUCAAAUAAGUGGUACAGACAAUGAAAUGAAAUGAAAUAGUAAAAUAAAAAAUGUUGUGUAUUAACUGGCAUUUUUUUCUGCCAGAAAAAUAGAGACAGGAACUCUUAAAAUAAACGCAAUUUUUGUCAACAAGAAUUUUUCUUUUUUGGGACUUUUUUGCACGAGUUUGUGUUUCGGGAGUUAACUUGAGUAAUUUUUGAGAAGAUCUUGUAAAAAUAUUUAAAAACUGUGUUUGCUGUAACAAUACUACUCCAGGUUAGAACCAGGGAAAGCCAAUACCAGCGCCAGCACAGGCUGGGAGAUGUCUGUCCUGGAGGUCGUGAAAGGGCAUGAACGAACCAGGCACAGAACACCAUUAACCAUCUAAGACCCAGGACCCAGGAGUGGGGUCCAGUUAUAGAAUCUGAUAAGGAUGUGUGGAGGGGACCAGCCCACCACAGCACAAAUAUCCUGGAGGGGAAUGCCCCUAGCCAGCGUGCUGGACAAGGUAAUACACCUAGUGGAGUGGGCCGUAAUCCCUAGAGGCAAGGCUUUUAGGGUGAUAGGCCCUAAAGGAGGUGUGUUUGCAGGAACUCUAGCAUCGCAUAACAGAGCAUGAACUAGAUCCUGACAAUGCUAAUUACAGAACAGGUGAAAGCUCAACAUAGUCUCCACAAACUUGGUUGGGAGACCAGAGUCUAGGAGCUGGUCCCCCUCAGAGGUUCCAAAUCUUGGGGUGGUGGUGGAGAAUUGGUUCCUGUACCUGAGAGAGGAGGCUCCUCCAGAGGGGAAUCUCCCAUGAAGCGAAAUUUAUUCAUGGUCUUGCUGGUGUGCUCCACUUCGUCACAUGACCUAUUCUGAUGCUUUUAUAUGUUCUUGGAUUAUCGCCAAUAUAUUUUUGCCUGCUGUGUAUUCUUGAAUAAAUCUGCAGAUGGAUUCUACUACUUCCGCAUCUGGGAUUUGAGGUUCCUUGCUUGUGGGCCAGUAUUCAAUCCAAGUCUGCUCACCCAAAAUGUACUGCAACCUGACAAGAACAAAUGAUACAAAUAUUCAGCCCAUGAUGACUGUGGUGAACAUACUUGUCAUCUAUCCUUGGGAGGUCAACACUGUGGCCCAUGAUGAGAUGCUGCGUCCUCCAGAGAUUACAGUUUGCUGCAUACGGCAUCAAGAAUGUCUUUCUUGGGAAAAGUAACUGUAAUAAAAUGGACUAUUCCUUGUGAGGAAGAACAAACUGUAUACAGGAGAAUGCAGCAAAUGAAAUCCCAUGUGAAAAUGGAAAAAAA
Long non-coding RNA from Hemibagrus wyckioides, 2138 nucleotides. RefSeq lists it as uncharacterized. The transcript is spliced from 5 exons. Lineage: Eukaryota; Metazoa; Chordata; Actinopteri; Siluriformes; Bagridae. The record is from RefSeq and is a predicted model, not a curated record.